Xenia sp. Carnegie-2017 is the source of this 947-nucleotide long non-coding RNA. RefSeq lists it as uncharacterized. NCBI's taxonomy places the organism in Eukaryota, Metazoa, Cnidaria, Anthozoa, Malacalcyonacea, Xeniidae. The transcript is spliced from 2 exons. The record is from RefSeq and is a predicted model, not a curated record.
GAACCCAAUCACUUAAACCAUUUUUCAUUCAUAAGUCAUUAUUCUUGAAGCGAUGUUUUUCUUGUCAUUUCUCACUGUAUUUUCGCUGCUGUCGUAUUGUGUCUAUUGUUUAAACAAACACCUGUAGGCAAUAAAGUUACAGCUGGUAUUACGAUGUAAAUUUUACUGUAUAGUUCGGUCCGACACAAUUUGUUGUAUUUAGGGCCUAAAAUUUUGCUAAUGACUGUCAGCAAAAUUGAAUUUACUGUUGGUAAAGUUGAUAGUCAAAACUUAAAAUACGUUUUAUAUUGUAACAAUAUAAUUUUUCGUCAUUGAGCACUUGAAGUCAUUAACCUGCUUUGCCGUGUUUGCCCACAUUAGAUGCAUUAUUUGUGGUUCGUUGCUUCAUAGCUAUAAACAGAGGUAAUUCUCUAAAAUGUCGAAAACUCUAUGUUCUAUAACAUUGCUUUGUCAACCAACAACAACAUCCAAAUUUCCAAACAUUUAUAAUAUUAUUGUUGAUUUGUAAAGGAUAGGAUUUGACGGAAAACAAGUUCUAUUAAAUGUUGAAUAACUGGGGCAGAUGGCAUAAGUGUUUGUAUAUACUCAAUAAAGCACUGUACAUUUGAGGAAGCCGACAGCCUUGGCCAGCAGUUGCAAGUAAAACGUUGCGAAAGCCACAACUCUGUUGUUCGUCUGACUUGUAUGUAUCUUAAUUUUUCUCUGUUUGUUUAAGGUGUAUAUCUGCAGUCGCCUUAUUGUGUCCGUUUUUCAAUUAAUAAAAAAACAAAGAGCUUUACUGUAUAUCCUUGGAUCUAUGCAAUGAUGAGUUUAAUGAUAUGGUGGUUAUUGUGGCUGUUAUUUGGUCAAGGAUUCACAAUGAAAAUGGGUUGGAAUGAAGAACUUGAGUUUUGUGAGGAAGAAUGGAAGAAAUUUGUGGCGGACAAAAUUGAAAUCGAUUCGAAAUG